GCACUUUCGUUAAUUGAUUUUGAGAUGCUUGCAUCGAAGAUGAUUUUAACUAUAAAGUGAGUGGCGAACGGGUGAGUAACACGUGGGUAACCUGCCCAGAAGUGGGGGAUAACACCUGGAAACAGAUGCUAAUACCGCAUAACAAAAUUAACCGCAUGGUUGAUUUUUAAAAGAUGGCUUCGGCUAUCACUUCUGGAUGGACCCGCGGCGUAUUAGCUAGUUGGUGAGAUAAAGGCUCACCAAGGCAGUGAUACGUAGCCGACCUGAGAGGGUAAUCGGCCACAUUGGGACUGAGACACGGCCCAGACUCCUACGGGAGGCAGCAGUAGGGAAUCUUCCACAAUGGACGCAAGUCUGAUGGAGCAACGCCGCGUGAGUGAUGAAGGCUUUCGGGUCGUAAAACUCUGUUGUUGGAGAAGAACGUGUGUGAGAGUAACUGCUCAUGCAGUGACGGUAUCCAACCAGAAAGCCACGGCUAACUACGUGCCAGCAGCCGCGGUAAUACGUAGGUGGCAAGCGUUAUCCGGAUUUAUUGGGCGUAAAGCGAGCGCAGGCGGUCUUUUAAGUCUAAUGUGAAAGCCUUCGGCUUAACCGAAGAAGUGCAUUGGAAACUGGGAGACUUGAGUGCAGAAGAGGAGAGUGGAACUCCAUGUGUAGCGGUGAAAUGCGUAGAUAUAUGGAAGAACACCAGUGGCGAAGGCGGCUCUCUGGUCUGCAACUGACGCUGAGGCUCGAAAGCAUGGGUAGCGAACAGGAUUAGAUACCCUGGUAGUCCAUGCCGUAAACGAUGAAUGCUAAGUGUUGGAGGGUUUCCGCCCUUCAGUGCUGCAGCUAACGCAUUAAGCAUUCCGCCUGGGGAGUACGACCGCAAGGUUGAAACUCAAAAGAAUUGACGGGGGCCCGCACAAGCGGUGGAGCAUGUGGUUUAAUUCGAAGCUACGCGAAGAACCUUACCAGGUCUUGACAUCUUCUGCUAACCUAAGAGAUUAGGCGUUCCCUUCGGGGACGGAAUGACAGGUGGUGCAUGGUUGUCGUCACCUCGUGCCUGGAGAUGUUGGGUUAAGUCCCGCACCGA
RNAcentral lists this ribosomal RNA (1075 nucleotides) under Pediococcus ethanolidurans. Its description in RNAcentral is "bacterial SSU rRNA". It matches the Rfam family "Bacterial small subunit ribosomal RNA", at positions 33 to 1095 of the family's 1533-position model. The record is from RNAcentral. Lineage: Bacteria; Bacillati; Bacillota; Bacilli; Lactobacillales; Lactobacillaceae.